GGGGCUGUAUAGAUUCGACAGGAAAAGUGAAAAACAAUUUCAAGUCGAGCUGGUUACAUAAGCUCGUAAAAUUUUGUAGCAAAAUUCAAGCGCUAAACCAAAUUUAGCACCUGCAUUCGCUUAAAAAAGUGAAAGCUGUCCGCCCAACUGUUGGUUGAAUGGUUGGAAUCGGGCAUGACAAAUCAACUUGCUUCCCGCCAAGAUAGCUUUGGUAGGCGGGAUUAAGAAAACAAAGGCAAAUUUUAGGCUUGUCAAUGAUUGUUAGAUCUUUUUUUGGACGGGGAUGCAAUUUCCCCCAGCUCCACCA
Molecule: transfer-messenger RNA, 307 nt
Filed under: Patescibacteria group
Lineage: Bacteria
Description: JAMCZU01 sp023485405 X1 Standard tmRNA
Rfam family: transfer-messenger RNA
About the family: Bacterial tmRNA, also known as 10Sa RNA or SsrA, is named for its dual tRNA and mRNA-like properties.
Source: RNAcentral